UAGGGAAUCUUCCACAAUGGACGCAAGUCUGAUGGAGCAACGCCGCGUGAGUGAAGAAGGUUUUCGGACCGUAAAGCUCUGUUGUUGGUGAAGAAGGAUAGAGGUAGUAACUGGCCUUUAUUUGACGGUAAUCAACCAGAAAGUCACGGCUAACUACGUGCCAGCAGCCGCGGUAAUACGUAGGUGGCAAGCGUUGUCCGGAUUUAUUGGGCGUAAAGCGAGCGCAGGCGGAAGAAUAAGUCUGAUGUGAAAGCCCUCGGCUUAACCGAGGAAUUGCAUCGGAAACUGUUUUUCUUGAGUGCAGAAGAGGAGAGUAGAACUCCAUGUGUAGCGGUGGAAUGCGUAGAUAUAUGGAAGAAUACCAGUGGCGAAGGCGGCUCUCUGGUCUGCAACUGACGCUGAGGCUCGAAAGCAUGGGUAGCGAACAGG
This 429-nucleotide ribosomal RNA is filed under the name uncultured bacterium. RNAcentral describes it as "partial 16S ribosomal RNA". It matches the Rfam family "Bacterial small subunit ribosomal RNA", at positions 355 to 776 of the family's 1533-position model. The record is from RNAcentral.